RNAcentral lists this ribosomal RNA (496 nucleotides) under uncultured bacterium. Its description in RNAcentral is "partial 16S ribosomal RNA". It matches the Rfam family "Bacterial small subunit ribosomal RNA", at positions 29 to 507 of the family's 1533-position model. The record is from RNAcentral.
AUGAACGCUGGCGGCGUGCCUAAUACAUGCAAGUCGAGCGAACGGACGAGAAGCUUGCUUCUCUGAUGUUAGCGGCGGACGGGUGAGUAACACGUGGAUAACCUACCUAUAAGACUGGGAUAACUUCGGGAAACCGGAGCUAAUACCGGAUAAUAUUUUGAACCGCAUGGUUCAAAAGUGAAAGACGGUCUUGCUGUCACUUAUAGAUGGAUCCGCGCUGCAUUAGCUAGUUGGUAAGGUAACGGCUUAACAAGGCAACGAUGCAUAGCCGACCUGAGAGGGUGAUCGGCCACACUGGAACUGAGACACGGUCCAGACUCCUACGGGAGGCAGCAGUAGGGAAUCUUCCGCAAUGGGCGAAAGCCUGACGGAGCAACGCCGCGUGAGUGAUGAAGGUCUUCGGAUCGUAAAACUCUGUUAUUAGGGAAGAACAUAUGUGUAAGUAGCUGUGCACAUCUUGACGGUACCUAAUCAGAAAGCCACGGCUAACUACGUG